RNAcentral lists this ribosomal RNA (498 nucleotides) under Eulaema mocsaryi. Its description in RNAcentral is "partial 16S ribosomal RNA". The stretch from base 360 to 498 matches the Rfam family "Archaeal large subunit ribosomal RNA", at positions 2542 to 2681 of the family's 2987-position model. The record is from RNAcentral. Lineage: Eukaryota; Metazoa; Arthropoda; Insecta; Hymenoptera; Apidae.
GUCAAUCUGCUCAAUGAAUUUUUUUAAUAGCUGCAGUAUAUUGACUGUACAAAGGUAGCAUAAUAAAUUGUCUUUUAAUUGAAGAAUGGAAUGAAAGAAUUAAUGAAAUAUAAACUGUCUCUAUUAUAUUUAAUAAAAUUAAAUUUUUAGUUAAAAUGCUAAAAUUAAAUUAUGGGACGAUAAGACCCUAUAGAAUUUUAUAUUAUUAAUAAAAUUCAAUAAAAUUUUAUUUUUAUUUUAUUAAUAAUAUUUUAUUGGGAAGAUUAAUAAAUUAAAUUAACUUUAUUAAAAUAAUAACUUUGAUUUAAGAAAAUUAAAUUGAUAAAAUUAUAUUAAUUAAUAAAUUAAAUUACCUUAGGGAUAACAGCGUAAUAUCUUUUAUAAGAUCAUAUUAAUAAAGAUGUUUGCGACCUCGAUGUUGAAUUAAGAUAAAUUUUAAAUGAAGAAAUUUAAUAAUUAAGUCUGUUCGACUUUUAAAAUCUUACAUGAUUUGAGUUC